This 73-nucleotide transfer RNA is filed under the name Stegodyphus mimosarum. It matches the Rfam family "tRNA". Rfam says of the family: Transfer RNA (tRNA) molecules are approximately 80 nucleotides in length. Their secondary structure includes four short double-helical elements and three loops (D, anti-codon, and T loops). Further hydrogen bonds mediate the characteristic L-shaped molecular structure. tRNAs have two regions of fundamental functional importance: the anti-codon, which is responsible for specific mRNA codon recognition, and the 3' end, to which the tRNAs corresponding amino acid is attached (by aminoacyl-tRNA synthetases). tRNAs cope with the degeneracy of the genetic code in two manners: having more than one tRNA (with a specific anti-codon) for a particular amino acid; and 'wobble' base-pairing, i.e. permitting non-standard base-pairing at the 3rd anti-codon position. Lineage: Eukaryota; Metazoa; Arthropoda; Arachnida; Araneae; Eresidae. The record is from Rfam by way of RNAcentral.
GCCUUCGUAGUGUAGUGGUCAGCACGCUCGACGCGUACUCGCGAGGUCCGUGGUUCGAGUCCCGGCGAAGACA